CGAUAGCUAUCGGAAGAAACGGCAUCCUUUUUGCUUUGUUUUUCAAACAAAACAAAAAGAUAUAGUGGACAGCGGGAAAAGCU
RNAcentral lists this small RNA (83 nucleotides) under Flavobacterium saliperosum. RNAcentral's name for it is "Flavo-1 RNA". It matches the Rfam family "Flavo-1 RNA". Lineage: Bacteria; Pseudomonadati; Bacteroidota; Flavobacteriia; Flavobacteriales; Flavobacteriaceae. The record is from RNAcentral.